AACGAACGCUGGCGGCAUGCCUAACACAUGCAAGUCGAACGAGACCUUCGGGUCUAGUGGCGCACGGGUGCGUAACGCGUGGGAACCUGCCCUUAGGUUCGGAAUAACUCCCCGAAAGGGGUGCUAAUACCGGAUAAUGUCUUCGGACCAAAGAUUUAUCGCCUUUGGAUGGGCCCGCGUUGGAUUAGCUAGUUGGUAGGGUAAAAGCCUACCAAGGCGACGAUCCAUAGCUGGUCUGAGAGGAUGAUCAGCCACACUGGGACUGAGACACGGCCCAGACUCCUACGGGAGGCAGCAGUGGGGAACAUUGGACAAUGGGCGAAAGCCUGAUCCAGCAAUGCCGCGUGAGUGAUGAAGGCCUUAGGGUUGUAAAGCUCUUUUACCCGGGAUGAUAAUGACGGUACCGGGAGAAUAAGCUCCGGCUAACCCCGUG
RNAcentral lists this ribosomal RNA (433 nucleotides) under uncultured bacterium. RNAcentral's name for it is "partial 16S ribosomal RNA". It matches the Rfam family "Bacterial small subunit ribosomal RNA", at positions 29 to 507 of the family's 1533-position model. The record is from RNAcentral.